RNAcentral lists this ribosomal RNA (391 nucleotides) under uncultured bacterium. Its description in RNAcentral is "partial 16S ribosomal RNA". It matches the Rfam family "Bacterial small subunit ribosomal RNA", at positions 355 to 763 of the family's 1533-position model. The record is from RNAcentral.
UGGGGAAUAUUGCACAAUGGGCGAAAGCCUGAUGCAGCAACGCCGCGUGAGUGAUGAAGGUCUUCGGAUUGUAAAGCUCUGUCUUUUGGGACGAUAAUGACGGUACCAAAGGAGGAAGCCACGGCUAACUACGUGCCAGCAGCCGCGGUAAUACGUAGGUGGCGAGCGUUGUCCGGAUUUACUGGGCGUAAAGGGUGCGUAGGCGGAUGUUUAAGUGAGAUGUGAAAUACCCGGGCUUAACUUGGGUGCUGCAUUUCAAACUGGAUAUCUAGAGUGCAGGAGAGGAGAAUGGAAUUCCUAGUGUAGCGGUGAAAUGCAUAGAGAUUAGGAAGAACACCAGUGGCGAAGGCGAUUCUCUGGACUGUAACUGACGCUGAGGCACGAAAGGCGU